CCUCAUCAAAAACAUGACUUUGAUCUGCGUCCUCAUCUGGACUCUCCUCUGCUGCUGCUUCACAGAGUCCAGAGGUCAGGUCACAGUGACUCAGCCUGCAGCAGUGACAGCUGAUCUGGGAGGAUCUGCCACCAUCGGCUGUAGGACCAGUCAGAACGUUUAUAACAACGAAUUAGCCUGGUACCAACAGAAAGCUGGAAAUCCUCCUAAGCGGCUUAUUUAUCGUACCAGCACUCGAGACUCAGGGACUCCAAGUCGUUUUACAGGCAGUGGAUCAAACUCUGACUUCACUCUGACCAUCAGUGGAGUUCAGGCUGAGGAUGCUGCAGGUUAUUACUGUCAGGGUGUUCAUUACAUCAACAGUCAGUACCCACGCACACAGUGA
Fundulus heteroclitus (mummichog) is the source of this 385-nucleotide non-coding RNA. The record is from the annotation of a RefSeq genome assembly. Lineage: Eukaryota; Metazoa; Chordata; Actinopteri; Cyprinodontiformes; Fundulidae.